AUUGAACGCUGGCGGCAGGCUUAACACAUGCAAGUCGAGCGGUAACAGAGAGAAGCUUGCUUCUCUGCUGACGAGCGGCGGACGGGUGAGUAAUGCCUAGGAAUCUGCCUAGUAGUGGGGGAUAACGUGCCGAAAGGUAAGCUAAUAUCGCAUACGUCCUACGGGAGAAAGGAGGGGGACCUGCGGGCCUUUCGCUAGUAGAUGAGCCUAGGUCGGAUUAGUUAGUGGGUGAGGUAAUGGCUCACCAAGACCGCGAUCCGUAACUGGUCUGAGAGGAAGAUCAGUCACACUGGAACUGAGACACGGUCCAGACUCCUACGGGAGGCAGCAGUGGGGAAUAUUGGACAAUGGGGGGAACCCUGAUCCAGCCAUGCCGCGUGUGUGGAGAAGGUCUUAGGAUUGUAAAGCACUUUAAGUUGGGAGGAAGAGCAGUUAACUAAUAUUUGACUGUUUUGACGUUACCGACAGAAUAAGCACCGGCUAACUUCGUGCCAGCCGCCGCAGUAA
Molecule: ribosomal RNA, 507 nt
Filed under: uncultured bacterium
Lineage: Bacteria
Description: partial 16S ribosomal RNA
Rfam family: Bacterial small subunit ribosomal RNA
Source: RNAcentral